UUAAGUUAGAAAGGGCGCACGGUGGAUGCCUUGACACUAGGAGUCGAUGAAGGACGGGACUAACGCCGAUAUGCUUCGGGGAGCUGUAAGUAAGCUUUGAUCCGAAGAUUUCCGAAUGGGGAAACCCACCAUACGUAAUGGUAUGGUAUCCUUAUCUGAAUACAUAGGGUAAGGAAGACAGACCCAGGGAACUGAAACAUCUAAGUACCUGGAGGAAGAGAAAGCAAAUGCGAUUUCCUGAGUAGCGGCGAGCGAAACGGAACAUAGCCCAAACCAAGAGGCUUGCCUCUUGGGGUUGUAGGACAUUCUAUACGGAGUUACAAAGGAACGAGGUAGACGAAGCGACCUGGAAAGGUCCGUCGUAGAGGGUAACAACCCCGUAGUCGAAACUUCGUUCUCUCUUGAAUGUAUCCUGAGUACGGCGGAACACGUGAAAUUCCGUCGGAAUCUGGGAGGACCAUCUCCCAAGGCUAAAUACUCCCUAGUGAUCGAUAGUGAACCAGUACCGUGAGGGAAAGGUGAAAAGCACCCCGGAAGGGGAGUGAAAGAGAUCCUGAAACCGUGUGCCUACAAAUAGUCAGAGCCCGUUAACGGGUGAUGGCGUGCCUUUUGUAGAAUGAACCGGCGAGUUACGAUCCCGUGCGAGGUUAAGCUGAAGAGGCGGAGCCGCAGCGAAAGCGAGUCUGAAUAGGGCGUUUAGUACGUGGUCGUAGACCCGAAACCAGGUGAUCUACCCAUGUCCAGGGUGAAGUUCAGGUAACACUGAAUGGAGGCCCGAACCCACGCACGUUGAAAAGUGCGGGGAUGAGGUGUGGGUAGCGGAGAAAUUCCAAUCGAACCUGGAGAUAGCUGGUUCUCCCCGAAAUAGCUUUAGGGCUAGCCUUAAGUGUAAGAGUCUUGGAGGUAGAGCACUGAUUGGACUAGGGGUCCUCAUCGGAUUACCGAAUUCAGUCAAACUCCGAAUGCCAAUGACUUAUCCUUAGGAGUCAGACUGCGAGUGAUAAGAUCCGUAGUCAAAAGGGAAACAGCCCAGACCGCCAGCUAAGGUCCCAAAGUGUGUAUUAAGUGGAAAAGGAUGUGGAGUUGCUUAGACAACUAGGAUGUUGGCUUAGAAGCAGCCACCAUUUAAAGAGUGCGUAAUAGCUCACUAGUCGAGUGACUCUGCGCCGAAAAUGUACCGGGGCUAAAUACACCACCGAAGCUGCGGAUUGAUACCAAUGGUAUCAGUGGUAGGGGAGCGUUCUAAGGACAGUGAAGUCAGACCGGAAGGACUGGUGGAGUGCUUAGAAGUGAGAAUGCCGGUAUGAGUAGCGAAAGACGGGUGAGAAUCCCGUCCACCGAAUGCCUAAGGUUUCCUGAGGAAGGCUCGUCCGCUCAGGGUUAGUCAGGACCUAAGCCGAGGCCGACAGGCGUAGGCGAUGGACAACAGGUUGAUAUUCCUGUACCACCUCUUUAUCGUUUGAGCAAUGGAGGGACGCAGAAGGAUAGAAGAAGCGUGCGAUUGGUUGUGCACGUCCAAGCAGUUAGGCUGAUAAGUAGGCAAAUCCGCUUAUCAUAAAGGCUGAGCUGUGAUGGGGAAGCUCCUUAUGGAGCGAAGUCUUUGAUUCCCCGCUGCCAAGAAAAGCUUCUAGCGAGAUAAAAGGUGCCUGUACCGCAAACCGACACAGGUAGGCGAGGAGAGAAUCCUAAGGUGUGCGAGAGAACUCUGGUUAAGGAACUCGGCAAAAUGACCCCGUAACUUCGGGAGAAGGGGUGCUUUCUUAACGGAAAGCCGCAGUGAAUAGGCCCAAGCGACUGUUUAGCAAAAACACAGCUCUCUGCGAAGCCGUAAGGCGAAGUAUAGGGGGUGACACCUGCCCGGUGCUGGAAGGUUAAGGAGAGGGGUUAGCGUAAGCGAAGCUCUGAACUGAAGCCCCAGUAAACGGCGGCCGUAACUAUAACGGUCCUAAGGUAGCGAAAUUCCUUGUCGGGUAAGUUCCGACCCGCACGAAAGGUGUAACGAUUUGGGCACUGUCUCAACCAGAGACUCGGUGAAAUUAUAGUACCUGUGAAGAUGCAGGUUACCCGCGACAGGACGGAAAGACCCCGUGGAGCUUUACUGUAGCCUGAUAUUGAAUUUUGGUACAGUUUGUACAGGAUAGGCGGGAGCCUUUGAAACCGGAGCGCUAGCUUCGGUGGAGGCGCUGGUGGGAUACCGCCCUGACUGUAUUGAAAUUCUAACCUACGGGUCUUAUCGACCCGGGAGACAGUGUCAGGUGGGCAGUUUGACUGGGGCGGUCGCCUCCUAAAGUGUAACGGAGGCGCCCAAAGGUUCCCUCAGAAUGGUUGGAAAUCAUUCGUAGAGUGCAAAGGCAUAAGGGAGCUUGACUGCGAGACCUACAAGUCGAGCAGGGACGAAAGUCGGGCUUAGUGAUCCGGUGGUUCCGCAUGGAAGGGCCAUCGCUCAACGGAUAAAAGCUACCCCGGGGAUAACAGGCUUAUCUCCCCCAAGAGUCCACAUCGACGGGGAGGUUUGGCACCUCGAUGUCGGCUCAUCGCAUCCUGGGGCUGUAGUCGGUCCCAAGGGUUGGGCUGUUCGCCCAUUAAAGCGGUACGCGAGCUGGGUUCAGAACGUCGUGAGACAGUUCGGUCCCUAUCCGUCGUGGGCGUAGGAAAUUUGAGAGGAGCUGUCCUUAGUACGAGAGGACCGGGAUGGACGCACCGCUGGUGUACCAGUUGUUCUGCCAAGGGCAUAGCUGGGUAGCUAUGUGCGGAAGGGAUAAGUGCUGAAAGCAUCUAAGCAUGAAGCCCCCCUCAAGAUGAGAUUUCCCAUAGCGUAAGCUAGUAAGAUCCCUGAAAGAUGAUCAGGUUGAUAGGUUCGAGGUGGAAGCAUGGUGACAUGUGGAGCUGACGAAUACUAAUAGAUCGAGGACUUAACC
This 2918-nucleotide ribosomal RNA is filed under the name Bacillus cereus. Its description in RNAcentral is "bacterial LSU rRNA". It matches the Rfam family "Bacterial large subunit ribosomal RNA". The record is from RNAcentral. Lineage: Bacteria; Bacillati; Bacillota; Bacilli; Caryophanales; Bacillaceae.